AGGGGUGUAGCUCAUCUGGCUAGAGCGCUGGUCUCCAAAACCAGAGGUAGGGGGUUCAAGUCCCUCCACCCCUGCCA
Molecule: transfer RNA, 77 nt
Filed under: Candidatus Saccharibacteria bacterium RIFCSPHIGHO2_01_FULL_48_12
Lineage: Bacteria; Candidatus Saccharimonadota
Also listed under: 2 other names
Description: tRNA-Trp
Rfam family: tRNA
About the family: Transfer RNA (tRNA) molecules are approximately 80 nucleotides in length. Their secondary structure includes four short double-helical elements and three loops (D, anti-codon, and T loops). Further hydrogen bonds mediate the characteristic L-shaped molecular structure. tRNAs have two regions of fundamental functional importance: the anti-codon, which is responsible for specific mRNA codon recognition, and the 3' end, to which the tRNAs corresponding amino acid is attached (by aminoacyl-tRNA synthetases). tRNAs cope with the degeneracy of the genetic code in two manners: having more than one tRNA (with a specific anti-codon) for a particular amino acid; and 'wobble' base-pairing, i.e. permitting non-standard base-pairing at the 3rd anti-codon position.
Source: RNAcentral